UACGUAGGGUGCAAGCGUUAAUCGGAAUUACUGGGCGUAAAGCGUGCGCAGGCGGUUUUGCAAGACAGAUGUGAAAUCCCCGGGCUCAACCUGGGAAUGGCAUUGGAGACUGCACGGCUAGAGUGUGUCAGAGGGGGGUAGAAUUCCACGUGUAGCAGUGAAAUGCGUAGAGAUGUGGAGGAAUACCGAUGGCGAAGGCAGCCCCCUGGGCCAAUACUGACGCUCAUGCACGAAAGCGUGGGGAGCAAACAGG
This 253-nucleotide ribosomal RNA is filed under the name uncultured bacterium. RNAcentral describes it as "partial 16S ribosomal RNA". It matches the Rfam family "Bacterial small subunit ribosomal RNA", at positions 524 to 776 of the family's 1533-position model. The record is from RNAcentral.